RNAcentral lists this long non-coding RNA (1240 nucleotides) under Fukomys damarensis (Damara mole-rat). RNAcentral's name for it is "lncRNA (ENSFDAG00000025520.1)". The record is from RNAcentral. Lineage: Eukaryota; Metazoa; Chordata; Mammalia; Rodentia; Bathyergidae.
UGGCUGUGUAAGAGAAGAUGUAGGGGUGGACCUGAGCCCCAACGGAGGCAAGAACUUGCAAAGAGAGACAGCGUGGUGCUCAAGGUGUCCAAAGGAGUCUGCUGUGAUUGGAAAAAAGUGAGCAAACACUGGCGCAACAUAUUACACAUAUAUCUGAUGCUGGAGAUCAUCAAACACAAACCCAGCACAAAGCUGGGAGGAGCUAUUUGUGUCUUUCCUGAAGGACCUGUAUCAUCCAAAUUUCCAAAAUUCUUCAUAAACCAUCUUUUUUCCCAGAAUCCCAAGAGCUGCUAUGUAGAAAAUAAAGCCUUGACUCAAAGUGGAAGAUGGAAGAGGAUGUCUAUAUGAUGAUUCCCUUCUCCCUGGCUUUAAUGACUCCUGAGGAUAUUAAAAACAAAUCAGGCGCUUAUUGCUCACUGAGGAUCGAUCUACUAAUCUACAGAAGAGGAGCAGGUGGUCCGGCUGCCGCAAAGUACCUACAAGGGAACUCGUCCGAGUGUGGUUCAUUGGACAGAAAUGACAGAAUGUCAAUUUCCCUCCUAAAUGCAUGUCAUCGUCCGGAAUCAAAUAAGCAAUUACACCAGGCUAAAUUGAAUUCAUUUCAGAUUCGGACGGGCGGCGCACACCCAGACUGCUCCACGGAGGGAAAGCACACCUCCGACUGCAUGUAAAUAACAAGCCCGUGGCGGAUGGGUCUUUGAGCCUUGCCACCUCCCAGGCUCAGGCUCAGCCUGACUGAAAACUGACCCUGGCAACUUCCCAGCUGGCCUUCCCCCGCCCCCGCCCAGCAUCUCUGGCUGCCACGCUCAGGGGUAUGCCAUAGUGGCCCGGAUGUGGCAGGGAUCCAUCCACAGAAGACCAGCCCCUUUCAGCUCCUGCCCAGGGGCUCCAGGGAGCAUCUUUUCAUUUGGUUUCACCAGGUAAUGCGGUAGUCUUUCUUUCAAAUACUCUUAGAAUUACAACGCGUUGAGAAGAAAGUGUAGAGUGACCAUAAACCCAAAAACUAGUUUUCUUUAUAAUUUUUAUGUAGUUAUUUUUGGGCAUCUUAGUACUAUACAGAGUGACAAGGUUCAUUUGGGGUGCUCACAUUUAACAUGGCUUGUUCAUCUGAAAUUCCAUUAUGCCUCUCACCUUUCCUCCCUCGUCCUGUUGAACUCCUUCCCCAUAUCCUGAAGUCUGUCUUCGCAUUUCCUGACAAUUUUCCUUUACUUAUUCAUUCAUUCAUUCAUUAACUUAUUCA